RNAcentral lists this ribosomal RNA (1278 nucleotides) under Salmonella enterica. RNAcentral's name for it is "partial 23S ribosomal RNA". It matches the Rfam family "Bacterial large subunit ribosomal RNA", at positions 711 to 1885 of the family's 2925-position model. The record is from RNAcentral. Lineage: Bacteria; Pseudomonadati; Pseudomonadota; Gammaproteobacteria; Enterobacterales; Enterobacteriaceae. RNAcentral also lists the same sequence under 4 other names.
AGACCCGAAACCCGGUGAUCUAGCCAUGGGCAGGUUGAAGGUUGGGUAACACUAACUGGAGGACCGAACCGACUAAUGUUGAAAAAUUAGCGGAUGACCUGUGGCUGGGGGUGAAAGGCCAAUCAAACCGGGAGAUAGCUGGUUCUCCCCGAAAGCUAUUUAGGUAGCGCCUCGUGAAUUCAUCUCCGGGGGUAGAGCACUGUUUCGGCUAGGGGGCCAUCCCGGCUUACCAACCCGAUGCAAACUGCGAAUACCGGAGAAUGUUAUCACGGGAGACACACGGCGGGUGCUAACGUCCGUCGUGAAGAGGGAAACAACCCAGACCGCCAGCUAAGGUCCCAAAGUCAUGGUUAAGUGGGAAACGAUGUGGGAAGGCCCAGACAGCCAGGAUGUUGGCUUAGAAGCAGCCAUCAUUUAAAGAAAGCGUAAUAGCUCACUGGUCGAGUCGGCCUGCGCGGAAGAUGUAACGGGGCUAAACCAUGCACCGAAGCUGCGGCAGCGAACGUAUCACCCAAGACAACUUUACGGAGUUGACGAUUGACGGAGCGAAGCGACGUCAAAGCGUUCAUUAAAGUCGAGUUGGCUUAGGGAUACGUUCGUUGGGUAGGGGAGCGUUCUGUAAGCCUGUGAAGGUGUGUCGUGAGGCAUGCUGGAGGUAUCAGAAGUGCGAAUGCUGACAUAAGUAACGAUAAAGCGGGUGAAAAGCCCGCUCGCCGGAAGACCAAGGGUUCCUGUCCAACGUUAAUCGGGGCAGGGUGAGUCGACCCCUAAGGCGAGGCCGAAAGGCGUAGUCGAUGGGAAACGGGUUAAUAUUCCCGUACUUGGUGUUACUGCGAAGGGGGGACGGAGAAGGCUAUGUUGGCCGGGCGACGGUUGUCCCGGUUUAAGCGUGUAGGUGUGUGUUCCAGGUAAAUCCGGUUCACUUUAACACUGAGGCGUGACGACGAGGCACUACGGUGCUGAAGCAACAAAUGCCCUGCUUCCAGGAAAAGCCUCUAAGCAUCAGGUAACACGAAAUCGUACCCCAAACCGACACAGGUGGUCAGGUAGAGAAUACCAAGGCGCUUGAGAGAACUCGGGUGAAGGAACUAGGCAAAAUGGUGCCGUAACUUCGGGAGAAGGCACGCUGACACGUAGGUGAAGUGAUUUACUCAUGGAGCUGAAGUCAGUCGAAGAUACCAGCUGGCUGCAACUGUUUAUUAAAAACACAGCACUGUGCAAACACGAAAGUGGACGUAUACGGUGUGACGCCUGCCCGGUGCCGGAAGGUUAAUUGAU